AGUGACUUCCGCCCCUAGGGAGCGACAGCUGUUCUUCCAGCUCUUUUCAGUGGGUAGCUGGUCUUCGGGGCUGUCACGGCUGUCCCCUAAUCCUAUUGUUUCUGCCUUGGCGGGACAUUUGUUCUGCUUACCUGCAGGGGUAUUGCCCUCAUUUUACGGGUUGGAAAACUGAGGGUGGAUUAAGGUUGUUGACCUGUCCGGACUAUAUAGCUGGUAGUGUAGUCGGAACUCAGUACAAUCGAAACUAAAUCUGAUUGUUGUCUCAAACGUGAUGUCCACGUCGUGUGAUGGCCAGGCAGUAUUUUCAGAUUAAAUAUCUAUUGAGAGAAUGAGUGAAAGAGCUAGCCAUCGCUAGCCUCCACCUGGUACCUGAUGAGAAGAUGACCCGUGGCUCCUAUUCAUGGCAGAGGAGAUUAGCAUCUCAAAGGGCCAGAAGGCAUGGGCUGGAGCUCUCUCAGCUUCUGCGAUUGGCUUCAAAAAUCUCUUCCUAUCAUUUUGGACUAAUGGCAUUUGUCAUCCAGUGAAGGUUAGUGAAACCAAUGUUUGAUAACCACCUCCUCCACCCUGACCCUUUGUGGAUGUGCCAAGGGGCAGCUGCAAAACCACUGAAAGCAUCUUAAAUGAUACAAUGCAAAGAGACUUCUGGUUAAAGAUGGUGGCUUCACGAUAUGUAUUUCCCUCUUCUCCCUCCUGAGACGCCACUACAGAAGUGAAAAAGGAAGCAAGUCACAAUGAUUCAAAGAAUGAAAGAUCAUUAGUGGUUUUCCCUUACAUAAGGCUGGGAGGAUAAUAGUUCCUACUGCAAAGGACUGCUUUCAGGACUAAUGGCGUACACAUCCUGGAAAAAACUUUUGUCUCUGGGGUUUGCUUUCUCUUGCUUGCUCUGAGGGAGGCCAGCUACCGUGUCCCAUCCCAUGGAAAGGCCCAGGUUCAAGGAACUGAGGAGAGCCUUCAGCCAGUGGCCAGUAAGGAAGUGAAUCCUGCCGAAGACCAGGGGAGUGAGUGUGGAAGUGGCUCCUCCUGCACUCGAGCCUUCAGAUGAGACUGUGACCUGGUGGACAGCUUGGUUGCAGCCUUGUGAGAGGACCCAGCUACGCCAUGUCCUGACUCCUGACCCACAGCAACUGUGAGGUCCAGCAAGUGUGAUGCUCAAGCUUGGGCCAUGAUUACCGCAAGAGAUUGAAGACAUUGGCUUUAUGGAAGAUGUGCACUGAACAUGCUCUGGGCACCAGUGGUCCAUUUAAGGGCUUAUUGCCUCCAGGAUACUUCUCUUGUCCACCUGAUGCAAAAUAAUUCCUCUCUAUGACGAUGUUCCAGCUGGAAUGAAGGAAGAAGUGGAUAAGAAAGGAUUCCCUCCCUUGAAGAUAUAACCUAGGAGUUCUGUGCAUCACUUCUGGUCAUUUCUCACUGGCAAGAACUCUUCUUAUGGUCACACAAGAGAGGCUGGCAAAUUUGGCUUUUAUUCUGAGAAACCCUAUGUCCAGCUGAAAAUGAAGGGAUCUGUUACUGUGGGAGAAAAGGAUAACAGAUAGUGGGAACAACUAGCAGCCUCGGCCACAGUCCAUCCCCUUGUUACCCAAACUUCCAUGUUCCAAAUCAUCCCUACACCAAAGGAGACAACUCCAAGAUUCCUUGUAGCUACUGAACCCAUAUCAAAGUCUACGAUCUCUGAGUAAGGCACAGUCCUCUCCAUUAGGUCUGUGUGCAGCUCGUUCUUCAUGGGGCAAUGACUUAAAAAAUGCAAGAUAAAUCAUCUGCCUCUCAGAUAGUCAAUAUACAACGAUGAAGCAGGGUCUGGAAAAUAAUAAAAAAUCCCAUUUGGAUGGAGGCAAAGGUGAAACACAGAACAGCAAAUGCCCCCUAACAAUGGACCAAACCCCAUGGCCCAUCCAGGAUCAUUCCCUGUCUUGGAGGAACUCUUGAGUUCAUCAUCUUUGAUGUCUUCUGGCCUUACCAUUUUGGAAUGUUCUUUCUUGUUCAUUAUCCGUCCUGGCCACAUUUGAGAUUGGCCAUUCAGAGCAGGUUCUCCUUUUGGACUAAAAAGCUUUUGGAACAUGUCAAGUCAAUCCUUUGUCAAACACCCAUAGUCAGCUCUUUUGUUUAGAAGAAAGAUUUUACACCUGAAGGGUCUGUUUUGAAUUUGCUUCUGUGCUUUGCUCAUUACUCUGUCUUUCAAGUUAGUGGCAGCUAACUAGUUGCACCUAAAACAAAGACUUCAUUCAUCUAAUCAUUUCCUUGAGGCUGGCUCCAAUUUUCUGGCAAAAAUAUCUUUUAAAAGAAGGUGUUGAAUAAAUUUGGAGGCCUGGUUUUUAUCUCCUGCUAAGUCUGGCACUGCAGCGCUCUCACUACUAAUAGCUGUAUUUUUGGGGUAUAGAAGCAAUUUUCAACUUUGAAAAACCCCAAACAAAUAAGCUCCUGGUCAAUUUAGAUUGUUAACCACAGGCAGAGUGUGUUGCAAUGCUAUAUUUUCUUUCAUUUCUAUUAACACACUGGCCAUCUUUAUUUUGGAUUUAUAUCUCUUCUUUAGGAUUUUGCUGAAAGCCACAAGAAGUGGUAACUCAGACCAACAUACUAUAUAUAUUAUAUAUGUAUUCCUCUAGCACUAUAGCCUCAUUGAAUGUGUGUUCUAUCUCCCAAAGCAGUGCCUCGCUAUAUUGCCAAAUGUUUAGUCUCUGGAUAACAAGGAUUACUAAAUUUCCAACUUGCAAUAUUUUGAGUCAACACUGCCCAUCACCCAGACAGUAUUCUGAAGUCACAUGGAUGUUUGUCUCUGUUAUGUUCAGCAUUCCACUUUAAGGUACCAAAAUUAGGUGAGUAUGUGCCUAGCAGAAAUAGUGGCUUUAACAGACAAACAGUUAUUUCUCAUAUAAAACGCUAGAAGUACCCAGUCCAGGUCUGCAAGAAGGAGGUUCUGCUCCAUGAAAUCCUUAAGGACUCAGGGUCUUUCUUUUUGCUUUACCAGUCUUUUUUAUUUUAUUUUUUGCUUUUUAGGGUCGCACCCCAGGCUAGGGGUUGAAUCAGAGCUGUACUGCCAGCCUACACCACAGCCACGGCAACUCGGGAUCCAAGCCAUGUCUGUGACCUACACCACAGCUCAUGGCAACGCCAGAUCCUUAACCCACUGAGCAAGGCCAGGGAUCGAACUUGCAACCUCAUAGCUCCUAGUCGGAUUCCUUAACCACUGAGCCACGAUGGGAACUCCUGCUCUACCGGUCUUUAAGGUGUUGCCCUUAUCCUUAUGCUUUUAGAAGCACCACAACACAGAGUGAUUUGUUCUGGUUUGCCUGGGACUUUCUUGGUUUUAGCAUUGAAAGUCCCAUAUCCUGGGAAAACCCUCAGUGCUGGGAAAACGGGUACAGUUGUUCACUACUCUGUAUCCACCCCAGUUCGAUGUACUACAAUAUAGUUCUGAUGCCAAGCAUCUAGAGUUAACAUCAGAUCCCAGAAGUUAAGGGCUCAUUCUUUCACAAGACUUUCCCCUCUUUAGAUAGCAGCUGCAAAGGGGUCCCCAGGCCACGUGAACCAAUUGGCUGACAAAUUGGCUACCAGUCUAGGAGGUUCCCACCACUCCACACAGGGGUGAUAAUUUGCUAGAAUGAUCCAUAGAACUCAUUGAAAGAUGAUAUUUAUGAUUAUAGUUUCAAAAAGAUAUUCCUAGGAAGAGGUCUAGGAGGGUCUUGAUGCAGACCUUCCAUGCCCAAUGCCUGUGGAGUCAGGGUGCAUCAUCCUUCCAACAUGUCAAGGUGUGCACCAAUCAGGAAGCUCCUCCUAGCUUUGGUGGCCAGAGAUUUUAUUGGAGUUUCAUCACAUGUGUAUGAUUGAUUAAAUCAUUGACUUCAUGAUUAAACUCAAUAUCUAGCCCUCUGCCCCUCCCCAGAAGUUGGGUGGUUGAAAGUCCCAGCUCUUCCGUCAUGUACUUGGUCCUUCUGUGACCAGCCUCUGUGCUGAAGCUUCCUAGGGUCCCACCAUGAGUUAUUUCAUUAGCAUACUAGAGAUGCUCCUAUCAUUUAAGAAAGCCCCAGGGUUUUUGAAGCUCCAUGCCAGGAACCUGGGAAAAAGACCAGACAAAUUAUUUACUAUACCACAGCCGACUUACAUCCACCAUGUCUAUAUUUCCAUCAGCAGGAAGGUGAAAAGUGUCAAGAAGUCAGUUUGAGGGUAUGAUCAGAAAACUGUACAUGUUACUUCUGUUUACAGUUCAUUGGCCAGCACUUCGACAAUGGCCAUUCUAAACAUGAGAGGUUGGGAAAGGUACUCUUCAUUCUGAGCACCCAUGUUCCAUGGGUUUUAUUUUUACAGGAAAAAGAAGAAUAGAUAGUGAGGUACAAUUCCCAGCCUAAGCCACAUUUUGUUCUUUGAUACUUUAUUAAGCCUGCACCUUGUGGUUGAUGUCCUGUUUUAGUUUGUAGGAUACUACGAGAUUGGUAUGCAGUAUUUCUAUUGCUUCUCAGUUCUAAAUAUUUUGUAAUUUCCCUUGUAAUUUCCUCUAUAACCAUGGGUCACUUAAAAUUUUUUUUCUUAAUUCACAAAAUGAUAAUUUCAUUUUUAGUAGGCAUUUUGUUGAUUUAAAAUUGAAAUCUCUUGCUAUCAUGGAAUAUGAACUUAGGAGAUCAAUUCUCUGAAAUUUAUUGACUUUGAGACAUACUACAUGAUCAAUUUUGGUAAAGUUUUGAUGGGAGCUCAAAAAAGUCUCUAUUGUCUGAUGUGAGAUCAAAAUAUGAGCUCUUACCACUGUGUUGAUCAAAAGUCCAUAUCUAUAUCUUUUUUCUCCAAAAAAGUAGGAUUACAUUGUAUAUAUUAUCUUGGAAAAUUCUUUUAAAAUGUAAUACUGUAUUAUGGAAAUAUUUCCAUAUUAAAUACCUGUGAGUUGGUACACAUCCUUAAUUAUUUAAUCAUUAUAAAGUUUGUGCCUGGGAUUGCUCCUUCAAAGGGAAUGCUCUUUAAAAAGGCUUUUUCUAAAUUAUUGCCACGAUUGGCAGUUUGCCCCCAAGAGGGGUCAAACCAAUUUUUACUUCCUUCAGUCCUGCAGAAUGUUGUCCAUUUUUCAUACCAUCUUGAUUAUUGUGUAUCAUCAUAAUUUUUUCUUUGCUGAUAGCCAAAGUACCUCCUUUUGCUGAUGAGAAAGAAGCUUUAAAACAUACAGCAGUUGGCAAAAAUAAAGCAGAGGGAGCUCCAGGAUGGAUUCUGACUCUCAUUUCCUGCCCAGGACAGGGGGUGGAAAAAAUGACAAAAAUCCAGCUGUGCCUCUCUUUCACAUCCAGAAUUGUGAAUUGUAGAAUUCAUUUAUUCUGUCCAGCACCAACUGGGCUGAAUCUUGUGAAAGAGAUCUCCUUCUCCUGAGGGAUGAAUCAAACCUGCCAAUAACUAUGCCUCAUCCAGGACACAAGAGCUUGACAAAUAUUUUUUUCGGCAAAUGUGUUUUCUUAGCAGGAAGCCGGUGAACAAUCAAGUGUCUCUUUUACUGGCUGUGUAGCUCAGCUGGAUCCUAGUAGCUCUGGUCUCUGCCCAAAUGUUUUUAGGACUUCCCUUCAGAAGCUGGCAGCACAGGGACCACCCACCUCUCUCAGUCAAGGUUAUUGGUCCUUUGGAAGCAGCAAUGUAACCACUUAGGUACAGAAACUAAAAUAACAAUUGAAUGUUCAUACUUCUGGUCCCAUUUGAGCCACACACCGCCUUGUGAGCUAAGAAUGAUUAUUGCUCUUUUGUAAACGAAUGCACUGAGGGUUAAAAAAGGGGAGGGAAAUUUUGUUGGUUUACACAGCUAGAAAGAGACCUUCCCUGACUACCUUCGUUAUAUAUAACCUGCUGUCCCCCGAAAGUCACCAUCAACAUUAGUCUAUUUUCUUAACACCACUGAUCACAAGGUGUAAUUACUGCCAUCUUUCUUUCCUGAUUGUGAGACCAGACUCCAAUCCGGUCCUCAUCUAGUUCUCAUGCUGUUGUGCAGUCUCCUCCCACUGGAGACCCAUGCUGGUCCCUGUGACUAAUAGCACGUGGAAGAAACAAUGACAAAUGACUCUCAAGGUUACAUCAUAAAGGACACAACUCUGCCCCGCCUUAGGGAAUCCAGCAGCCUUGCCAGAGGGGUACUUAAGCACCCCAGGGAGAGGCCCACCUGAAGAGUAACUGGGGCCUCCUACAAACAACCAGCAGGAACUUGCCAGCUUGGCGAAUGGCCCACCUUGGAUGUGGACCCAUCAACCCAGUGAAGCCUUCAGAUGACUGCAGCCCGGAUGACUCUAACUGCAAUUUCACCAGAGACCUUUAGCCAGAACUGCCCAGUCACACUUCUCCUGAGUGCCUGGCCCACAUGGGAUCCCAUUUGAGAUGUUGGCAUUGAAAAUAUGAGACCUAAUAAAUGUUUAUCGUGGUUUGAAGCAA
RNAcentral lists this long non-coding RNA (6381 nucleotides) under Sus scrofa (pig). RNAcentral describes it as "lncRNA (ENSSSCG00025021737.1)". The record is from RNAcentral. Lineage: Eukaryota; Metazoa; Chordata; Mammalia; Artiodactyla; Suidae.